CCAUAUUAACUCGAUAAUAAUACAAUUCUGAAUAUAGUGUGACCCCAAAUAUUUUGAAGGGUAACUCAGAAAGAAGAAGCACCCAUUUUAUUUAUUCCUUUUAAAUUACAACUUUCUCUUAACUUGUGGAUGAUGCAGACACUUUAUAUUCAAAGUGUUUUCAAGGUCCAACACUUUUAUUAAAUAUGUGUUGCUUUUAGAGAUACUUGCGAAAAACUGUCUUCCAAUAUUUAAUCAUGUUCUCCUUACUCUUCUAUUUCCUCAUCUCCAGAAAUGGAAACAUCAUUCAAGUCAUCUUUUUCCCACAAAACACCAUCUUCACUACCAUCCAUACUGUUUGAUAGGCAACAUUUUAAAAAUACAAGCACAAUGGACUCAGUGGAGAUUUUGUCCCAAGCAGUUUUGAUCCUGUUCCCUAAUACAGUUUCUUUAUUUUUAUUAUUAUCAUCUUUAUUAUUUUAAAGACCACAGGUUUCUUUAUUUUUCCUGAUGGAGUCAGUUCAUGUUUUCUGGCCACUAUCCACUCAGUAUAUUCUUUCCUCAAAUGACCUUUGAAUGGCUUAUUAAUGACUAGGUCUAACACUUGUAAUUGUGAUGUCAUUCCUCCCAGAAUAACAACUAGGUCCAUGCUCAUUUCAGCAAUUUUCUUCUUCACAUUUUCAGUGAGGCCAUCGAGUAUGAGUAUUCCUAUCUGAUGAAGUAACUCCCUGGGACGCUUAGCCCAGAUCACAUUCAACCAAUCUAACACAAGUUCUUCAUUCAUCCAUCCCUUUUCCUGUACACAAAUGAUCACUCCUGAUGACCAUGCUUCUCAACUCUUCCAGAUGUUCUCCACAGCAAUGUUCUUUUCAUUCAUGCCUCCAAACCUUGGUGUUCUCACUCAGCCUAUUUUCUAUUACUAAUUCACAGUCCAGUGGGUCAAUGUCAAAGGUCUCAGUCACAUUGCUAUCCCACUUCUUAUGGUGCUCAGGGUCAUUCAGCCCAUCAUAGAUGUCUCAGUGGACACAUCUCAGCACUCCAUCUAGCACCUGAGCUCAUGAGGGGGCAGGUCUAGCCCCUCAGCCUGUUCUCAU
Molecule: long non-coding RNA, 1073 nt
Filed under: Monodelphis domestica (gray short-tailed opossum)
Lineage: Eukaryota; Metazoa; Chordata; Mammalia; Didelphimorphia; Didelphidae
Description: lncRNA (ENSMODG00000042756.1)
Source: RNAcentral